This 497-nucleotide long non-coding RNA is filed under the name Homo sapiens (human). RNAcentral describes it as "non-protein coding lnc-NUMB-1:5". The record is from RNAcentral. Lineage: Eukaryota; Metazoa; Chordata; Mammalia; Primates; Hominidae.
GUGAGAUGCUCAACGAAGAGGCCCAUGAGGCAGGGCACCGAGGGAGGCUUCUGGCCAACAGCUCCUGGGGAACCAAGGCCUUAGGAAGUGAGUCCUGCCAACAAUAACGAGAGCCUUGAACUUUGAAACCACAGUACCUUGUUCCAGCGUGGAAAGCAGCGUGGCACUUCCCGGUGGUGAAAGCACCCCAGCUUGAAAGGGGGUCAGCCAGGAGUGGAUCUGGAAGCUGGAGAACUCUCAAUACGCCACUUCAGUUUAUUGACGACAUUUAUAAUUGCAACCGAAGUUGACUGAUUUCUGCUAAAUGAAAGUUUGCGCUUUGCCCUUUAGCAUUGAGGCUCCUGGAAAGAACUUCAAUGAAAUUGGAUGCAUUGAGACCAAAGAAAAGAAGGGGACAUUUUUAUCUCUCUGAUACCUUUCUCCCCAGGGCUUGGAAACACUUCUUAAACACAACCUCUAAUGUUGGUGUUUUGUAAGUACUACCCCUAUGAAUAAAG